GAUGAACGCUGGCGGCGUGCCUAAUACAUGCAAGUCGAACGCUUAACUUCGGUGAAGAGUGGCGAACGGGUGGGUAAUCCCUAAGUAACCUGGCAUCUACCGGGGGAUAACUGAUGGAAACGUCAGCUAAGACCGCAUAGGUGUAGAGAUCGCAUGAACUCUAUAUGAAAAGUGCUACGGGACUGGUAGAUGAUGGACUUAUGGCGCAUUAGCUUGUUGGUAGGGUAACGGCCUACCAAGGCGACGAUUCGUAGCCGAACUGGGAGGGUGACCGGCCACACUGGAACUUGGACACGGCCCAGACGCCUACGGGAGGCAGCAGUAGGGAAUUUUCGGCAAUGGGGGAAACCCUUACCGAGCAACGCCGCGUGAAGGAAGAAGUAAUUCGGUAUGUAAACUUCUGUCAUAGAGGAAGAACGGUUGAUAUAUGGAAUGAUAUCCAAGUGACGGUACUCUAUAAGAAAGCCACGGCUAACUACGUG
This 482-nucleotide ribosomal RNA is filed under the name uncultured bacterium. RNAcentral's name for it is "partial 16S ribosomal RNA". It matches the Rfam family "Bacterial small subunit ribosomal RNA", at positions 28 to 507 of the family's 1533-position model. The record is from RNAcentral.